This 274-nucleotide ribosomal RNA is filed under the name uncultured bacterium. RNAcentral describes it as "partial 16S ribosomal RNA". It matches the Rfam family "Bacterial small subunit ribosomal RNA", at positions 523 to 796 of the family's 1533-position model. The record is from RNAcentral.
AUACGGAGGGUGCAAGCGUUGUUCGGAAUCACUGGGCGUAAAGGGCGCGCAGGCGGUUUGGUAAGUCAGAUGUGAAAGCCCACGGCUCAACCGUGGAAGUGCAUUUGAAACUGUCAGACUUGAGUACUAGAGGGGAAAGUGGAAUUCCCGGUGUAGAGGUGAAAUUCGUAGAUAUCGGGAGGAAUACCGGUGGCGAAGGCGACUUUCUGGCUAGAUACUGACGCUGAGGCGCGAAAGCGUGGGGAGCAAACAGGAUUAGAUACCCUUGUAGUCC